UGAAUCUCUUAAUCUUCAUCAGAGAAUCUUCUAUGGAUGCUGAUUAUUAAUACAGAAACAACUGAUCAACAUGUAGAGAAUAAUGGGCUGUGAAAUGCUAAGCCCUAAAUGAAACAUCUAUAUCAUAUUCCCUCCUCCCAUGGACCAGAUAUCAUUGUGGAAGAGGAUUAAGGAGUGGAUCAAUUCAAGAGAACUUUGUCCUCUGGGUGAAGCAGGACAGUUGCACAUAUUAACUCAUAGCAAUUGUAACAGCAUACAGAAGAUCCAUGUAAGAUCAACAUGUAGAACUCACAGCUCCUUCUCCAGAACCAUGUAUGCCUGCAUGCCAUCAUAUCCUACCAUGACAAUGGACUGACCCUCUGAACUUAAGCCACCCAAUUAAAUGUUAAGUGUUACCAUGGUCAUGGUGUCUAUUCAGAAUAUUAGAAAUUCUAACUAAGGAUUCUCUGAAAUUUGAGAGGAGGGACUUGAUGGAGACAUCCCAUUUAGAGUUGUGUGUUCCAAAGUCUGUCUCUGGAGCCUUUAUCCGGUAGCUAAUAGAAGCAGAAGG
Molecule: long non-coding RNA, 550 nt
Filed under: Cricetulus griseus (Chinese hamster)
Lineage: Eukaryota; Metazoa; Chordata; Mammalia; Rodentia; Cricetidae
Description: lncRNA (ENSCGRG00015029244.1)
Source: RNAcentral